This 257-nucleotide ribosomal RNA is filed under the name uncultured prokaryote. RNAcentral describes it as "partial 16S ribosomal RNA". It matches the Rfam family "Bacterial small subunit ribosomal RNA", at positions 521 to 777 of the family's 1533-position model. The record is from RNAcentral.
UAAUACGUAGGGGGCUAGCGUUGUCCGGAAUCAUUGGGCGUAAAGCGCGUGUAGGCGGCCCGGUAAGUCCGCUGUGAAAGUCGGGGGCUCAACCCUCGGAUGCCGGUGGAUACUGUCGGGCUCGAGUACGGAAGAGGCGAGUGGAAUUCCUGGUGUAGCGGUGAAAUGCGCAGAUAUCAGGAGGAACACCGAUUGCGAAGGCAGCUCGCUGGGACGUUACUGACGCUGAGACGCGAAAGCGUGGGGAGCAAACAGGA